RNAcentral lists this ribosomal RNA (988 nucleotides) under Lophiotrema neoarundinariae. RNAcentral describes it as "partial 18S ribosomal RNA". It matches the Rfam family "Eukaryotic small subunit ribosomal RNA", at positions 92 to 1088 of the family's 1831-position model. Lineage: Eukaryota; Fungi; Ascomycota; Dothideomycetes; Pleosporales; Lophiotremataceae. The record is from RNAcentral.
AAUGGCUCAUUAAAUCAGUUAUCGUUUAUUUGAUAGUACCUUACUACUUGGAUAACCGUGGUAAUUCUAGAGCUAAUACAUGCUAAAAACCCCGACUUCGGGAGGGGUGUAUUUAUUAGAUAAAAAACCAAUGCCCUCCGGGGCUCUUUGGUGAUUCAUAGUAACUCAACGGAUCGCAUGGCCUUGCGCCGGCGACGGUUCAUUCAAAUUUCUGCCCUAUCAACUUUCGAUGGUAAGGUAUUGGCUUACCAUGGUUUCAACGGGUAACGGGGAAUUAGGGUUCGAUUCCGGAGAGGGAGCCUGAGAAACGGCUACCACAUCCAAGGAAGGCAGCAGGCGCGCAAAUUACCCAAUCCCGACUCGGGGAGGUAGUGACAAUAAAUACUGAUACAGGGCUCUUUUGGGUCUUGUAAUCGGAAUGAGUACAAUUUAAACCCCUUAACAAGGAACAAUUGGAGGGCAAGUCUGGUGCCAGCAGCCGCGGUAAUUCCAGCUCCAAUAGCGUAUAUUAAAGUUGUUGCAGUUAAAAAGCUCGUAGUUGAACCUUGGGCCUGGCUGGCCGGUCCGCCUCACCGCGUGCACUGGUCCGGCCGGGCCUUUCCUUCUGGAGAGCCGCAUGCCCUUCACUGGGUGUGCCGGGGAACCAGGACCGUUACUUUGAAAAAAUUAGAGUGUUCAAAGCAGGCCUUUGCUCGAAUACGUUAGCAUGGAAUAUCGAAAUAGGACGUGCGGUCCUAUUUUGUUGGUUUCUAGGACCGCCGUAAUGAUUAAUAGGGAUAGUCGGGGGCAUCAGUAUUCAAUUGUCAGAGGUGAAAUUCUUGGAUUUAUUGAAGACUAACUACUGCGAAAGCAUUUGCCAAGGAUGUUUUCAUUAAUCAGUGAACGAAAGUUAGGGGAUCGAAGACGAUCAGAUACCGUCGUAGUCUUAACCGUAAACUAUGCCGACUAGGGAUCGGGCGAUGUUUCUAUCUUGACUCGCUCGGCACCU